UUAAUAAAUAUUCUGGAUAAUUAUUAUGUUAUGUAUAUUCCCACAUAUUUCUAUAUUCUCAUUCUUAUCGUCAUUUAAUAUGAAGUUUGUCAAUAAUCAAAUUUUUAUGGUUUGCUAGAAUUUCGAUAAAUUUUAACAUUUAUCCUCAUAGAAGAUAAAAAAUUUAGUGCUUAUAAUUUCAAAAAUGUAUUUAUGAAUAAAUAAUGUUUUGAUUAAUAUCCAAACUGUCCAGACGCAUCAUGGUUAAGUGGCUUCAAAAUAAAAUAUUAGUGCAAAGAAUAUUUCUUCUAAGCAUUACUGGCAUGAUUGCACAUGAAAUAUUAGUGGGCUACCUCGAUUAUAACAAUCAGGUGGUUGAGUAUAUGGAGUCGAUGUCGUACCAACAAGCCCGGGAAUCUAGUAGGAUGAAAAGUCGAGGACUCUCUCUUUUGGAUGGAGUCAAGUCGUCUGCGAGAAAUCAACACGCAGCUAACACAGAAACCGAGUAGAUCUCCACGGUUCUGCAAUGAAAGUUGUAUUGGUUAAAUUAUAUUAGUGUAUUUGUUUAUUUAUGAUUAUAUAUAUACAAAAUUUCUUACUACUUAGAAUAUUUUAUAUAUUUUUAAAUGUCUCAAAAAAGAAUUGUACACAUAAUUUUUAAUAAGACAUUUCUGAGGCUUUUAUUUAGAGUGUUUGGAAAAUUAAAAUUAUUGUAAUUAUUUUUUGGUAUGUUAUCUACAUAUCGAGAGAUCAUAUAUUCUUGUGACAUAAAGCAUAUCUAAAAGACGUCUUUAAGAUCUUUUAGACACGCGUGUUGUUUGGGAUAUGAUUACGAAUAAGUCACUGCCACGUGGUUAAUAUGUACUCAGAAUUCUCGAGUAAAUUCAGCUUUCUCGCAAUCCCUCGAGCAUUUCAAUACAUAGAUAUCGCGAGCGUAAAACUAAAAGAAAGAAUAUAGUAUUUCCUGUAUAAGACGCAACAAAGGAACAAAGAUACCGAUGAGCGGUAUAAUUUAACGUAAGACUUACAUGCAAUGCGAUAGAAUCUCGAGAAAAGUUACAGCUGAGGUCAAUCUUUUAUUCAGAUCUGUCGAAUUUACAACGCGAGAAGGAAUUCUUAGGCAAACAAUGGCUCAUUUUGACAUCACGAAUGUUAAUGAUAAUUGAUGCAUUCUUGACGUAACAAUUGAAAAUUUUCUCCGCCAAAACUAUCCGCAGAUAUUUCAACUAAAAAUAUCAGUAAUGUA
This is an RNA transcript of Monomorium pharaonis (pharaoh ant), 1225 nucleotides long. RefSeq lists it as uncharacterized. The record is from RefSeq and is a predicted model, not a curated record. The transcript is spliced from 3 exons. NCBI's taxonomy places the organism in Eukaryota, Metazoa, Arthropoda, Insecta, Hymenoptera, Formicidae.